This 643-nucleotide ribosomal RNA is filed under the name Monotoca elliptica. Its description in RNAcentral is "eukaryotic LSU rRNA". The stretch from base 263 to 418 matches the Rfam family "5.8S ribosomal RNA". The record is from RNAcentral. Lineage: Eukaryota; Viridiplantae; Streptophyta; Magnoliopsida; Ericales; Ericaceae.
UCGAAAGCCCGCCAAGCAAAAAGACCCGCGAACUUGUCUCUACAUACUAUUGGGAGUGAUGCGAUGGUCGCGGCCAUGUUGCCCAGGCUUUCGUUCUCUCCCUGCGAGUAGAUGUGCAAGGACCCUUCGGGUGACGUGCUCAUUUACUCGUCAAACAACGAACCCCGGCGCAAGACGCGCCAAGGAAAAUUGAACAAGAGUGCACGCCCCCAGCCCGUUUUGCGGGUGGUGUUGGCGUAUGCAAUCUUUCGUACAACUAAACGACUCUCGGCAACGGAUAUCUCGGCUCUUGCAUCGAUGAAGAACGUAGCGAAAUGCGAUACUUGGUGUGAAUUGCAGAAUCCCGUGAACCAUCGAGUCUUUGAACGCAAGUUGCGCCUGAAGCCAUUAGGCUGAAGGCACGUCUGCCUGGGCGUCACGCAUUGCGUCACCCGCUCCCCCGUGCCUAAGCGUGCAUGUCGGGGCGUGGGUGGAUAUUGGCCCCCCGUUCGCUUUUGGUGGUCGGCCGGCCUAAAAAAGAGUCCCCAACGACGGACAUCAGGACAAGUGGUGGUUGCUAAAUCGUCGCGUAGUGUUGUGGAUGCCAUUGUUUGUUGCGGGUUGGCUCAUUGACCCUGAAGGUGCUAGUACCUGCGGCACCUCG